This is a small nuclear RNA of Octopus sinensis (East Asian common octopus), 195 nucleotides long. RefSeq annotates it as U2 spliceosomal RNA. The transcript has a single exon. Lineage: Eukaryota; Metazoa; Mollusca; Cephalopoda; Octopoda; Octopodidae. The record is from RefSeq and is a predicted model, not a curated record.
UACUCUUCUUGAUGGCCUUUUGGCUAAGAUCAAUGUGUAGUAGCUGUUCUUAGCUUAAUAUCUGAUACGGUCCCUAUUUGAGGUCAUUGAUAUUAAACUGAUAUUUAGAACAAGACAAAGAGUUAGGAGCUUGCUCCACCUUUGCUAUGGGUUGCUAUGGGUAUUGCAAUACUUACAGGAUUCGACCCAUCAUUC